This is a long non-coding RNA of Bos taurus (domestic cattle), 2835 nucleotides long. Lineage: Eukaryota; Metazoa; Chordata; Mammalia; Artiodactyla; Bovidae. The record is from Ensembl.
GUUCAUGGGUGGCAGGUUUGAAUCUGGGAUGUUCUCCUUUUUUAUUGCCCCAUAAAGUUUCCUGGCAAACACGUGAUGCAAGGCCAUGACACAAAAGCCUAUUCAUUUCUAAAAAUAAGACUGACUUGUCCCCUCGUCCUGAUAAAGAAAUCUCUCACACUUUACAGCCAGGCUGGGGCCGACCCAGCCUCCCCACUUGCACAAGGAGAACACAGGUCCCAUCAGGCCCACCCAGGAGCCUGCCCAGGAGCCCUUGGAGCGUGGCCUGCCUCGUUCACUGGAUCCAGUCUUCUGGGACCCAGAAGGGAAGUUGGCAAGCAUUCCGAGAACCUAGGAUGCGCCACGUCAUUGUCCCAGCCCUGGGGACACAGGAGUGUCAGUCCCCACCUGCCAGGAGUGAACAUUCUGGGACUCUGAAGAGUCUUCUCCAGCACCACAACUUGAAAGCAUCAACUCUUUGGCACUCAGCCUUCUUUAUGGUUCAACUGUGAUAUCCGUACAUGACUACUGGAAAACCACAGCUUUGACUCUACGGACCUUUGACUGGAGGAGCUGCACACCUUGGGAGAUGGGAGAGAUAUGAACGAGAAGGUUAAUGUUUCCGUACACCUCAGAAUCAUGAUGGCUCACGGGAAGCGUGUGUGUGUUUCCUCCUGCAAAUAAGAGGUGCCACAGCCCAGGACGCUGAUUCUCAAUGUACCUAAGAGAUGGCAUGUCAUCCCCACUUUGGACUUGAGGCUGGAGAGGGAUGGGGAGCCAUUGGCGUGGGGCACCCAAGGGAGAGAAGGUCUCAAACUCUUCCGUGGAGCUGGGCAGCCUGGCUUAAAGAAAAACAGUAACUAGUUUCUUGGUUAUUUUUUCUCUUCUUGCAGUUACUUAUUCAUUUUCCCAGAACUUUCUUUUACAGUAGGAGAAUGCACGAGGAAGAGAGUACAAGCAAGUGGAACUCAGUUCAUCUGAUGAUCUGCCCACAUCCGCUGAGUCACUCCUAAUGGCCCCUCAGAUGUCAUUUUCUUACUAAGACAUUUGGAAAUUUUUCUGCCUGUGAAUCAGAAGCAAACACUGUAAUUCACCAGUCUUCUCUAAGUUAUGCAAGGAACUUUGAUGUGCUCAGAAGUGGAAGCUCAGGGCGGAUGAAAUCAAUGAAUUCUCUGAGAACUUUGUUUUUCUCCUACUUGAAGUUCGUUUGCCAAGUGGAGGAUGCGAAGAGCUCAGUCUGACCACUGGAGUCACCUCUGCAGGAAGUCUGGGAGCAGCUGAUGUGGGGUUUCUUGAUGACACUGGUUUUCCUUAUCAUCUUGGUCCUGUUCCCAUAAUAGACCCGAGUGUCAUCCAGGAAGGGGCUUUCUGCCACAGCAUCUUGUCGAGGGCUGUUCCUCACAACGAAGGGCUGGCCUGAGGGUGCUUAAUCAUCUCCAGGGUCCUCGGGUGUGUGGGGUCGCCCCCGGCGUGCAGGGGACGCCUGCCCUCUGCCCCCCCGGAGCUCAGUUCAGGGCCUAUCACUGUCACCUGCCUUUGUCACAGCCCUUCUUGGGGGAGAAGAUGGCUUUGUCACUCAUCACGGAUGGUCGCUUUAAAUCCCUUGCUGUGCUUCAGGGCAAGGGGUCACCUUCUGCCUGGCAGAAGUGCAGACCUUUGGUCACCCAGGGGGGCCUGUUAACCUGUGAGUCAGGAAGGGGUCACUCCCAGGGGCCUGAGAAAGCCACUGUGUCUCCACCGCCUCACUGGCUCUCGAUGACCCGGCAGCCAGAGGGCUGCGUGUUCCCCAGGGGAGCAGGUACCUUCAUAAAUAAGGACAAAGGGGCAGAGACGGGCUGGUGUCAGCCCCACUGCGUGUCCUGCCUCUUGGUGCUCCCCAACAUGCUAACUCCUGAGCCCUCAGCAGCUCAGGCCAGACACACAGUAGGCACUCAGGACGCAGGCCCAGGAGACAGUGGCGUCUACACAGUCAGUUGCAUCGCUGCCUUCCAUCAUGUGAAGCUGACUCGAAAAACACUGCCUGUGCAAUGGUUGAGGGCUGCUCAGUUCUUACCGCAGACUUAGGCCUUGGGACCACUAUUGGGCUUUCCAGGUUUGAGGGAGGUAGGCCCCCAAUCCCAGCCUCCCUGCCUGGCAUCCGCCCCCCCCAACUAGCCCCCACCCCUGACAGCUCAUGCCACCCAGGCUGAGUAAACACCGCUGGCCCCACCGGAAUCAGAGCAAACAGGGUUCCUCUUCUUCCCCCUUUUUGCCACCAUUAACAGAAAAACCUUUUAAGCACUCAUCUGGAAUUCUGACAAACUCAGGUGACCCAAGGAGGGUGCUCCAGGGUGGAGGCUGGGGGCGCCCAGCUUGCUGGACUGCAUUCCUCCGACAUAGAGUGAAAACGCAGGUGGAGGACACCCCCAGACCCUCCCAGCAGCUCUGCCCCCCUCCGCCUCCUGUAACUUUCCAAAGUAGGUCUGUGCUGACUCCACGUACCGUCCCUGUUCCCCGGAACCGUUCACAUGGUCAGCCUGGAUCACCUCCUAGGGAAGGAGGAGAGAGUCCCACCCCGCCCGUUAGAACACACUGCUGAAUAAACACAUUAUUGGCUGUGGGGAAGCUUGCCCUUCUGAGUGGGGCUGCUCACCCUCGCCCAGCUGUUGGUCUGCACUCAGCAAACAUUGACUGAGGCACUUUGGGGACUCGAAGGUGAAGCGAUGCAGCAACUCUCAGGCUGUUGGGGAGAUAAGGCAGGAAUAUAAGUGAUGAGCAAACAAGGCUGAGCGUUGGAAACUGCCACCAAAGCUCUGGGGCCACCGGAAUGGGGGGUGUCCCUGACCCCCCAGGGUCUGUCUCCUGCUCCAGCCUCAG